This 446-nucleotide ribosomal RNA is filed under the name uncultured bacterium. RNAcentral describes it as "partial 16S ribosomal RNA". It matches the Rfam family "Bacterial small subunit ribosomal RNA", at positions 338 to 795 of the family's 1533-position model. The record is from RNAcentral.
CCUACGGGUGGCAGCAGUCGAGAAUCAUUCACAAUGGGGGAAACCCUGAUGGUGCGACGCCGCGUGGGGGACUGAAGGUCUUCGGAUUGUAAACUUCUGUCAUGUGGGAGCAAAUUCAAAAGAUAGUACCACAAGAGGAAGAGUCGGCUAACUCUGUGCCAGUAGCCGCGGUAAAACAGAGGUCUCAAGCGUUGUUCGGAAUCACUGGGCGUAAAGCGUGCGUAGGCAGGUUCGUAAGUCGUGUGUGAAAGGCGCGGGUUCAACCCGCGGACGGCACAUGAUACUGCGAGACUAGAGUAAUGGAGAGGGAACCGGAAUUCGCGGUGUAGCAGUGAAAUGCGUAGAUAUCGAGAGGAACACUCGUGGCGAAGGCGGGUUCCUGGCCGUUAACUGACGCUGAGGCACGAAGGCCAGGGGAGCGAAAGGGAUUAGAUACCCCUGUAGUC